CAGCAGCCGCGGUAAUACCGGCGGCCCGAGUGGCGGUCACUAUUAUUGGGCUUAAAGCGUCCGUAGCCGGGUUGGGAAGUCCUCCGGGAAACCUGGCCGCUUAACGGUCAGAAUGCCGGAGGAUACUCCCAGCCUAGGGAGCGGGAGAGGCCGAGGGUAUUCCCGGGGUAGGGGGGAAAUCCUAUAAUCCCGGGAGGACCACCUGUGGCGAAGGCGCUCGGCUGGAACGCGUCCGACGGUGAGGGACGAAGGCCAGGGGAGCAAACCGGAUUAGAUACCCGGGUAGUCCUGGCUGUAAACGAUGCGGACUUUGUGUCGGACAAGCUAUGAGCUUGUCCGGUGCCGGAGGGAAACCGUUAAGUCCGCCGCCUGGGGAGUACGGCCGCAAGGCUGAAACUUAAAGGAAUUGGCGGG
RNAcentral lists this ribosomal RNA (414 nucleotides) under uncultured microorganism. RNAcentral describes it as "bacterial SSU rRNA". It matches the Rfam family "Archaeal small subunit ribosomal RNA", at positions 459 to 872 of the family's 1478-position model. The record is from RNAcentral.